GACGAACCAUCCAAACGUUAUUCGGAAUUACUGGGCUUAAAGGGUGCGUAGGCUGCGCAGAAAGUUGGGUGUGAAAUCCCUCGGCUUAACCGAGGAACUGCGCCCAAAACUACUGUGCUCGAGGGAGACAGAGGUGAGCGGAACUUAGGGUGGAGCGGUGAAAUGCGUUGAUAUCCUAAGGAACACCCGUGGCGAAAGCGGCUCACUGGGUCUCUUCUGACGCUGAUGCACGAAAGCUAGGGGAGCGAACGGG
This 253-nucleotide ribosomal RNA is filed under the name uncultured Blastopirellula sp. Its description in RNAcentral is "partial 16S ribosomal RNA". It matches the Rfam family "Bacterial small subunit ribosomal RNA", at positions 524 to 776 of the family's 1533-position model. Lineage: Bacteria; Pseudomonadati; Planctomycetota; Planctomycetia; Pirellulales; Pirellulaceae. The record is from RNAcentral.